UGGGGAAUAUUGGACAAUGGGGGAAACCCUGAUCCAGCAAUACCGCGUGUGUGAAGAAGGCCUGCGGGUUGUAAAGCACUUUUGUCGGGGAGGAAAAGUUAAAAGCUAAUACCUUUUAACCAUGACGCUACCCGAAGAAAAAGCACCGGCUAACUCUGUGCCAGCAGCCGCGGUAAUACAGAGGGUGCAAGCGUUAAUCGGAAUUACUGGGCGUAAAGGGCCUGUAGGUGGUUUCUUAAGUUAGAUGUGAAAGCCCUGGGCUCAACCUGGGAACUGCAUCUAAAACUGGGGAACUAGAGUAUGGUAGAGGGAAGUGGAAUUUCUAGUGUAGCGGUGAAAUGCGUAGAUAUUAGAAAGAACACCAGUGGCGAAGGCGACUUCCUGGACCAAUACUGACACU
This 400-nucleotide ribosomal RNA is filed under the name uncultured bacterium. RNAcentral's name for it is "bacterial SSU rRNA". It matches the Rfam family "Bacterial small subunit ribosomal RNA", at positions 355 to 747 of the family's 1533-position model. The record is from RNAcentral.